Molecule: ribosomal RNA, 598 nt
Filed under: Pseudarthrobacter defluvii
Lineage: Bacteria; Bacillati; Actinomycetota; Actinomycetes; Micrococcales; Micrococcaceae
Description: bacterial SSU rRNA
Rfam family: Bacterial small subunit ribosomal RNA
Source: RNAcentral
GUGCUUGCUUGGGGGAUUAGUGGCGAACGGGUGAGUAACACGUGAGUAACCUGCCCUUGACUCUGGGAUAAGCCUGGGAAACUGGGUCUAAUACCGGAUAUGACCUUCCAUCGCAUGGUGGUUGGUGGAAAGCUUUUGUGGUUUUGGAUGGACUCGCGGCCUAUCAGCUUGUUGGUGGGGUAAUGGCUUACCAAGGCGACGACGGGUAGCCGGCCUGAGAGGGUGACCGGCCACACUGGGACUGAGACACGGCCCAGACUCCUACGGGAGGCAGCAGUGGGGAAUAUUGCACAAUGGGCGCAAGCCUGAUGCAGCGACGCCGCGUGAGGGAUGACGGCCUUCGGGUUGUAAACCUCUUUCAGUAGGGAAGAAGCGUAAGUGACGGUACCUGCAGAAGAAGCGCCGGCUAACUACGUGCCAGCAGCCGCGGUAAUACGUAGGGCGCAAGCGUUAUCCGGAAUUAUUGGGCGUAAAGAGCUCGUAGGCGGUUUGUCGCGUCUGCCGUGAAAGUCCGGGGCUCAACUCCGGAUCUGCGGUGGGUACGGGCAGACUAGAGUGAUGUAGGGGAGACUGGAAUUCCUGGUGUUCAGCUCGUGUC